This is a non-coding RNA of Meloidogyne enterolobii, 100 nucleotides long. The record is from the annotation of a GenBank genome assembly. NCBI's taxonomy places the organism in Eukaryota, Metazoa, Nematoda, Chromadorea, Rhabditida, Meloidogynidae.
CUUCCCUGGUAGCUCAGAGGUAGAGCUACUGUAUGUGGUGAGCGAAGGCGGCUAGCAAUAAGUGCAAGGAGGUCGCAGGUUAGAAUCCUGCCCGGUGGCU